Long non-coding RNA from Labrus mixtus (cuckoo wrasse), 1044 nucleotides. RefSeq lists it as uncharacterized. The transcript has 2 exons. Lineage: Eukaryota; Metazoa; Chordata; Actinopteri; Labriformes; Labridae. The record is from RefSeq and is a predicted model, not a curated record.
CUGUUGCUCUCCACUGUCUCAGCAUGUUGGAUCAAUCUACGACCAUCGGCUGAAAUAACUCAUCAUUAACGGUCACAUCCGGUCACAUAGGACUCUUCAUCAACGCCAUACCGCCACCUUCUGGACCGGAGGCUGAACUGUCUACACAGCGCCAUACCGCCACCUUCUGGACCGGAGGCUGAACUAUCUACACACCGCCAUACCGCCACCUUCUGGACCGGAGGCUGAACUGUCUACACAGCGCCAUACCGCCACCUGCUGGACCAAAGGCUGAACUGUCUACACAGCGCCAUACCGCCACCUGCUGGACCAGAGGCUGAACUGUUUGCACACUUAGUACACUAACACUUUCUAAUCCUCUUUAAUGUUAUUAAUUCUAAAUUUAACUUUAUUAUAAAUAUAAUUAUAUUUAAUUUAUUAAAUUAAUAUUUUUUAAUUCAAAGGUUUAUUAAUGAUUUGAAAAUAGUUAUUUAUAUUAUACUUUAUUAUUUUAGAGUAAAAAAAAGUAAAGUGAUCUAAAACAAAUUAAAAAAAUUAAAAACAACAAAAACAACAGAAUAAUAAAAAGUAGUAAAUACAAAAAUGAACAAACUAAUGAACAUUUUAAUCAGAAAUUUAAAAUGAAGAUAAAUCAAUAUGAGAGUUAAUAAAAAUAAAAACAAUCAUAAUAAUGUGUAAAUGACCUCAGUCCUUUUUAUGGCUUUUAAAUAUUUUAAUAAAUCUGAUCAAUGAAAAAAACAACUCUUUUUAUUUAAGUUAAAAUAAUCAACAACAAUGAUGAUGUAUCAUUUUAGUCUGCUGCUUCCUUUUCUGUGAACGGAUCACAAAAAGAGCUGAAACUCAACAAGCUUCUCUGAUUGGAGGAUUCUAUGGGACUUGGAGGUGGACACAUCCGGCUGCAGAUGUUCUUCCUGAUGUGUUUGUGGACAAUGUAAAGAGACGUUUGAUGUUUAAAUUUGUUAUUUGAGUUUGUGUGUUUGGCUGCUGGUUGUUUGUGUGAAACUGUUUUCUGAAAAAAUCGUAAAUAAAAAUAAAUAAAAUGUC